CAUUCAAAUUUCUUCCCUAUCAACUUUCGAUGCGAGGGUCUUGUCCUCGCAUGGUUGCAACGGGUAACGGAGGGUUAGGGCUCGACCCCGGAGAAGGAGCCUGAGAAACGGCUACUACAUCCAAGGAAGGCAGCAGGCGCGCAAAUUACCCAAUCCCGACACGGGGAGGUAGUGACAAUAAAUACUGAUACAGGGCUCUUUUGGGUCUUGUAAUCGGAAUGAGUACAAUUUAAAUCCCUUAACGAGGAACAAUUGGAGGGCAAGUCUGGUGCCANCAGCCGCGGUAAUUCCAGCUCCAAUAGCGUAUAUUAAAGUUGUUGUGGUUAAAAAGCUCGUAGUCNAACCUUGGGCCUGGCUGGCCGGUCCCCCUCACCGGGUGCACUGA
RNAcentral lists this ribosomal RNA (385 nucleotides) under uncultured fungus. RNAcentral describes it as "SSU rRNA". It matches the Rfam family "Eukaryotic small subunit ribosomal RNA", at positions 296 to 680 of the family's 1831-position model. The record is from RNAcentral. Lineage: Eukaryota; Fungi.